GUGGGGAAUAUUGGACAAUGGGCGCAAGCCUGAUCCAGCCAUGCCGCGUGAGUGAUGAAGGCCUUAGGGUUGUAAAGCUCUUUUGUCCGGGAAGAUAAUGACUGUACCGGAAGAAUAAGCCCCGGCUAACUUCGUGCCAGCAGCCGCGGUAAUACGAAGGGGGCUAGCGUUGUUCGGAAUCACUGGGCGUAAAGCGCACGUAGGCGGACCAUUAAGUCAGGGGUGAAAGCCUGGAGCUCAACUCCAGAACUGCCUUUGAUACUGAUGGUCUCGAGUUCGGAAGAGGUUGGUGGAACUGCGAGUGUAGAGGUGAAAUUCGUAGAUAUUCGCAAGAACACCAGUGGCGAAGGCGGCCAACUGGUCCGAUACUGACGCUGAGGUGCGAAAGCGUGGGGAGCAAACAGGAUUAGAAACCCGAGUAGUCC
This 425-nucleotide ribosomal RNA is filed under the name uncultured bacterium. Its description in RNAcentral is "bacterial SSU rRNA". It matches the Rfam family "Bacterial small subunit ribosomal RNA", at positions 354 to 796 of the family's 1533-position model. The record is from RNAcentral.